UGAUGUGAGGGAGAUCUGGAUGCAAUAUCUGUUACCCCAUCAAUCACCAUGGUUGACUGAACUGUUCUGACUGGCUAUGUAUGUGUCCCCUUCUUCCCUCACCACUCCAUGUGUGUUCGUCCUGAAGUUGUACAUUCCCUCUAAGAGGAUGAUCUUCCUUGAUAGAAAAGGGGAAGAACGUUCUUCCAUCAAGGGUAUACGAGUAGCUGCACUCCCCUACUAGAAUCUCCAAACAAGCUCUCAAGGUCCAUUUGAAGGAGAACAUAGGUUCUUGAACAUAGGUUCAAGCUUCCAAGACACCAGACACAUCCAAAUGAGGUGCUUCAUGUGGCAGUCUUCCUUUCUUU
RNAcentral lists this small nuclear RNA (347 nucleotides) under Neogale vison (American mink). RNAcentral's name for it is "Neovison vison (American mink) 7SK RNA (ENSNVIG00000013449.1)". It matches the Rfam family "7SK RNA". From Rfam's summary of the family: 7SK was discovered as an abundant small nuclear RNA in the mid-70s but a possible function has only recently been suggested. Two independent studies have found that 7SK RNA binds the CDK9/cyclin T complex (known as elongation factor P-TEFb). The record is from Rfam by way of RNAcentral. Lineage: Eukaryota; Metazoa; Chordata; Mammalia; Carnivora; Mustelidae.